RNAcentral lists this ribosomal RNA (500 nucleotides) under uncultured Alphaproteobacteria bacterium. RNAcentral describes it as "bacterial SSU rRNA". It matches the Rfam family "Bacterial small subunit ribosomal RNA", at positions 38 to 584 of the family's 1533-position model. Lineage: Bacteria; Pseudomonadati; Pseudomonadota; Alphaproteobacteria. The record is from RNAcentral.
GGCGGCAUGCCUAACACAUGCAAGUCGAACGAGACCUUCGGGUCUAGUGGCGCACGGGUGCGUAACGCGUGGGAAUCUGCCCUUGGGUUCGGAAUAACAGCGAGAAAUUGCUGCUAAUACCGGAUGAUGACGUAAGUCCAAAGAUUUAUCGCCCAAGGAUGAGCCCGCGUAGGAUUAGCUAGUUGGUGAGGUAAAGGCUCACCAAGGCGACGAUCCUUAGCUGGUCUGAGAGGAUGAUCAGCCACACUGGGACUGAGACACGGCCCAGACUCCUACGGGAGGCAGCAGUGGGGAAUAUUGGACAAUGGGCGAAAGCCUGAUCCAGCAAUGCCGCGUGAGUGAUGAAGGCCUUAGGGUUGUAAAGCUCUUUUACCCGGGAUGAUAAUGACAGUACCGGGAGAAUAAGCUCCGGCUAACUCCGUGCCAGCAGCCGCGGUAAUACGGAGGGAGCUAGCGUUAUUCGGAAUUACUGGGCGUAAAGCGCACGUAGGCGGCUUUGU